AUGGAUCCUAAUCAAUUUAAUUAUCAACAAUCUAUGUUCAAUUUCAUACAAAAUUUUCAAAAUCCUAAUCCUCAAAAUUCUCAAUUCCCAUCAAUGCCAACAAACUCCGCCGCUUUUUUUCCGUCAUCAACCGGAAACACUCCGCCGCAUUUUUUUCCGUCACCAAACUCCACCAUAUGGUCAACCAUCUAUGGAAUUUUUUCGUCAUGA
Non-coding RNA from Vicia faba (fava bean), 210 nucleotides. The record is from the annotation of a GenBank genome assembly. Lineage: Eukaryota; Viridiplantae; Streptophyta; Magnoliopsida; Fabales; Fabaceae.